CUCUGUUGUUAGGGAAGAACAAGUGCUAGUUGAAUAAGCUGGCACCUUGACGGUACCUAACCAGAAAGCCACGGCUAACUACGUGCCAGCAGCCGCGGUAAUACGUAGGUGGCAAGCGUUAUCCGGAAUUAUUGGGCGUAAAGCGCGCGCAGGUGGUUUCUUAAGUCUGAUGUGAAAGCCCACGGCUCAACCGUGGAGGGUCAUUGGAAACUGGGAGACUUGAGUGCAGAAGAGGAAAGUGGAAUUCCAUGUGUAGCGGUGAAAUG
RNAcentral lists this ribosomal RNA (266 nucleotides) under Bacillus cereus. RNAcentral's name for it is "partial 16S ribosomal RNA". It matches the Rfam family "Bacterial small subunit ribosomal RNA", at positions 431 to 688 of the family's 1533-position model. Lineage: Bacteria; Bacillati; Bacillota; Bacilli; Caryophanales; Bacillaceae. The record is from RNAcentral.